Molecule: ribosomal RNA, 492 nt
Filed under: uncultured bacterium
Lineage: Bacteria
Description: partial 16S ribosomal RNA
Rfam family: Bacterial small subunit ribosomal RNA
Source: RNAcentral
AGUGAACGCUGGCGGUAGGCCUAACACAUGCAAGUCGAACGGCAGCACAGUAAGAGCUUGCUCUUACGGGUGGCGAGUGGCGGACGGGUGAGGAAUACAUCGGAAUCUACUUUUUCGUGGGGGAUAACGUAGGGAAACUUACGCUAAUACCGCAUACGACCUACGGGUGAAAGCAGGGGAUCUUCGGACCUUGCGCGAUUGAAUGAGCCGAUGUCGGAUUAGCUAGUUGGCGGGGUAAAGGCCCACCAAGGCGACGAUCCGUAGCUGGUCUGAGAGGAUGAUCAGCCAAACUGGAACUGAGACACGGUCCAGACUCCUACGGGAGGCAGCAGUGGGGAAUAUUGGACAAAGGGCGCAAGCCUGAUCCAGCCAUACCGCGUGGGUGAAGAAGGCCUUCGGGUUGUAAAGCCCUUUUGUUGGGAAAGAAAAGCAGCAGGUUAAUACCCCGCUGUUCUGACGGUACCAAAAGAAUAAGCACCGGCUAACUUCGUG